RNAcentral lists this ribosomal RNA (492 nucleotides) under uncultured bacterium. RNAcentral describes it as "partial 16S ribosomal RNA". It matches the Rfam family "Bacterial small subunit ribosomal RNA", at positions 29 to 507 of the family's 1533-position model. The record is from RNAcentral.
AGUGAACGCUGGCGGUAGGCCUAACACAUGCAAGUCGAACGGCAGCACAGUAAGAGCUUGCUCUUACGGGUGGCGAGUGGCGGACGGGUGAGGAAUACAUCGGAAUCUACUUUUUCGUGGGGGAUAACGUAGGGAAACUUACGCUAAUACCGCAUACGACCUACGGGUGAAAGCAGGGGAUCUUCGGACCUUGCGCGAUUGAAUGAGCCGAUGUCGGAUUAGCUAGUUGGCGGGGUAAAGGCCCACCAAGGCGACGAUCCGUAGCUGGUCUGAGAGGAUGAUCAGCCACACUGGAACUGAGACACGGUCCAGACUCCUACGGGAGGCAGCAGUGGGGAAUAUUGGACAAUGGGCGCAAGCCUGGUCCAGCCAUACCGCGUGGGUGAAGAAGGCCUUCGGGUUGUAAAGCCCUUUUGUUGGGAAAGAAAAGCAGCAGGUUAAUACCCCGCUGUUCUGACGGUACCCAAAGAAUAAGCACCGGCUAACGUCGUG